This 497-nucleotide ribosomal RNA is filed under the name uncultured bacterium. RNAcentral's name for it is "partial 16S ribosomal RNA". It matches the Rfam family "Bacterial small subunit ribosomal RNA", at positions 28 to 507 of the family's 1533-position model. The record is from RNAcentral.
GAUGAACGCUGGCGGCGUGCCUAAUACAUGCAAGUCGAGCGAACAGACGAGGAGCUUGCUCCUCUGACGUUAGCGGCGGACGGGUGAGUAACACGUGGAUAACCUACCUAUAAGACUGGGAUAACUUCGGGAAACCGGAGCUAAUACCGGAUAAUAUAUUUAACCGCAUGGUUCAAUAGUGAAAGACGGUUUUGCUGUCACUUAUAGAUGUAUCCGCGCCGCAUUAGCUAGUUGGUAAGGUAACGGCUUACAAAGGCGACGAUGCGUAGCCGACCUGAGAGGGUGAUCGGCCACACUGGAACUGAGACACGGUCCAGACUCCUACGGGAGGCAGCAGUAGGGAAUCUUCCGCAAUGGGCGAAAGCCUGACGGAGCAACGCCGCGUGAGUGAUGAAGGUCUUCGGAUCGUAAAACUCUGUAAUUAGGGAAGAACAAAUGUGUAAGUAACUAUGCACGUCUUGACGGUACCUAAUCAGAAAGCCACGGCUAACUACGUG